UCGUGGUGCCGAAUAAUGGCGACGCGAAAGAGAAAUCGAGUAGGGCCCUGGGGAGAGUACACGCGCAAGCGAGAAAUUUAAAGGAAAUUGACGGAAGAACACCACAAGGAGUGGAGUGUGCGGCUUAAUUUGACUCAACGCGGGACAACUUACCGGGCCCGACGACCGUAUGAGUGUAACACACGAUAGGUCGAAGAGUGGUGCAUGGCCGUUAACGACGAGUGGAGUGAUCUUUGGGUUAAGUCCGUAAAUUAGUGAGACCUCAGCCGUAAGGGACAGGUGCGCAAAGCACAGGAAGGAUGGGUCAAGGACAGGUCAGUGAUGCCCUUAGAUGGUCCGGGCUGCACGCGCACUACAGUGGUCGCCGAAAUUACCUGAUAAUUUUAAAGGCGAUCGAGAGGAAAUGAGCUUUGUAAGAGGCUCAGGAACGAGGAAUUGCUAGUAAUCGCGGACUCAUUAAGACGCGAUGAAUACGUCCCUGUUCUUUGUACACACCGCCCGUCGUUAUCGAAGAUGAAGAUAGGCGCGAACGAUCUACCAGAAAGUGAGCGCAGGUCUUUAGAUCUGAUACAAGUCGUAACAAGGUAGCUGUAGGAGAACCUGUAGCUG
Molecule: ribosomal RNA, 609 nt
Filed under: Loma lingcodae
Lineage: Eukaryota; Fungi; Microsporidia; Glugeidae
Description: SSU rRNA
Rfam family: Microsporidia small subunit ribosomal RNA
Source: RNAcentral